GUGCUCACUUCAGCAGCACAUAUUCUAAAAUUGGAAUGAUACAGAGAAGAUUAACAUGGCCCCUAUGCAAGGAUGACAUGUAAAUUCGUGAAGCAUUCCAUAUUUAA
RNAcentral lists this small nuclear RNA (107 nucleotides) under Marmota monax (woodchuck). The record is from RNAcentral. Lineage: Eukaryota; Metazoa; Chordata; Mammalia; Rodentia; Sciuridae.